CAUGUGGUUUAAUUCGAAGCAACGCGAAGAACCUUACCAGGUCUUGACAUCCUGUGAAUCCUCUAGAGAUAGGACGUCCCCUUCGGGAGCAGAGUCACAGGUGGUGCAUGGUNGUCGUCAGCUCGUGUCGUGAGAUGUUGGGUUAAGUCCCGCAACGAGCGCAACCCUUGAUCUUAGUUGCCAUCAUUCAGUUGGGCACUCUAAGGUGACUGCCGGUGACAAACCGGAGGAAGGUGGGGAUGACGUCAAAUCAUCAUGCCCCUUAUGACCUGGGCUACACACGUGCUACAAUGGACAGAACAAAGGGCAGCGAAACCGCGAGGGUAAGCCAAUCCCACAAAUCUGUUCUCAGUUCGGAUCGCAGUCUGCAACUCGACUG
Molecule: ribosomal RNA, 379 nt
Filed under: Bacillus subtilis
Lineage: Bacteria; Bacillati; Bacillota; Bacilli; Caryophanales; Bacillaceae
Description: bacterial SSU rRNA
Rfam family: Bacterial small subunit ribosomal RNA
Source: RNAcentral